This 246-nucleotide long non-coding RNA is filed under the name Vigna radiata. RNAcentral's name for it is "long non-coding RNA (VRAD_LNC016105)". The record is from RNAcentral. Lineage: Eukaryota; Viridiplantae; Streptophyta; Magnoliopsida; Fabales; Fabaceae.
UCAUGGUCUCUCAUCAUGAUUCUUCCAUCAUGGACACUAAUAAACAUCUUUGAAGUUGCCAUGAAAGGUCUUCCAAGAAUCAUUGGAAUCCUCUCAUCAUUUUCCAUGCCCAUGACUAUGAAAUCAACCAAGAACUCUAGCUGUUCCACGCGCACAAUCACAUUCUCCACUAUACCAAGUGGUUCUUUUGUAGAACCAUCCGCCACCGUCACAAUAAGGUUUGACAGUUUUAAUACUAGCCCUCCA